Molecule: ribosomal RNA, 1355 nt
Filed under: uncultured bacterium
Lineage: Bacteria
Description: bacterial SSU rRNA
Rfam family: Bacterial small subunit ribosomal RNA
Source: RNAcentral
GAUGAACGCUAGCGACAGGCUUAACACAUGCAAGUCGAGGGGCAGCACAGGUAGCAAUACCGGGUGGCGACCGGCGCACGGGUGAGUAACGCGUAUGCAACUUACCUAUCAGAGGGGGAUAACCCGGCGAAAGUCGGACUAAUACCGCAUAAAGCAGGGAUCCCGCAUGGGAAUAUUUGCUAAAGAUUCAUCGCUGAUAGAUAGGCAUGCGUUCCAUUAGGCAGUUGGCGGGGUAACGGCCCACCAAACCGACGAUGGAUAGGGGUUCUGAGAGGAAGGUCCCCCACAUUGGUACUGAGACACGGACCAAACUCCUACGGGAGGCAGCAGUGAGGAAUAUUGGUCAAUGGGCGUAAGCCUGAACCAGCCAAGUCGCGUGAGGGAUGAAGGUUCUAUGGAUCGUAAACCUCUUUUAUAAGGGAAUAAAGUGCGGGACGUGUCCCGUUUUGUAUGUACCUUAUGAAUAAGGAUCGGCUAACUCCGUGCCAGCAGCCGCGGUAAUACGGAGGAUCCGAGCGUUAUCCGGAUUUAUUGGGUUUAAAGGGUGCGUAGGCGGCCUUUUAAGUCAGCGGUGAAAGUCUGUGGCUCAACCAUAGAAUUGCCGUUGAAACUGGGAGGCUUGAGUAUGUUUGAGGCAGGCGGAAUGCGUGGUGUAGCGGUGAAAUGCUUAGAUAUCACGCAGAACCCCGAUUGCGAAGGCAGCCUGCCAAGCCAUGACUGACGCUGAUGCACGAAAGCGUGGGGAUCAAACAGGAUUAGAUACCCUGGUAGUCCACGCAGUAAACGAUGAUCACUAGCUGUUUGCGAUACACAGUAAGCGGCACAGCGAAAGCGUUAAGUGAUCCACCUGGGGAGUACGCCGGCAACGGUGAAACUCAAAGGAAUUGACGGGGGCCCGCACAAGCGGAGGAACAUGUGGUUUAAUUCGAUGAUACGCGAGGAACCUUACCCGGGUUUGAACGCAUUCGGACCGAGGUGGAAACACCUUUUCUAGCAAUAGCCGUUUGCGAGGUGCUGCAUGGUUGUCGUCAGCUCGUGCCGUGAGGUGUCGGCUUAAGUGCCAUAACGAGCGCAACCCUUGCCACUAGUUACUAACAGGUGAUGCUGAGGACUCUGGUGGGACUGCCAGCGUAAGCUGCGAGGAAGGCGGGGAUGACGUCAAAUCAGCACGGCCCUUACAUCCGGGGCGACACACGUGUUACAAUGGCGUGGACAAAGGGAAGCCACCUGGCGACAGGGAGCGAAUCCCCAAACCACGUCUCAGUUCGGAUCGGAGUCUGCAACCCGACUCCGUGAAGCUGGAUUCGCUAGUAAUCGCGCAUCAGCCAUGGCGCGGUGAAUACGUUCCCGGGCCU